RNAcentral lists this long non-coding RNA (528 nucleotides) under Chinchilla lanigera (long-tailed chinchilla). RNAcentral describes it as "lncRNA (ENSCLAG00000025946.1)". Lineage: Eukaryota; Metazoa; Chordata; Mammalia; Rodentia; Chinchillidae. The record is from RNAcentral.
ACAUCCAGUGGGAGCCUGACUGUGCGCCUGGAUCUGGUCUUUCCCCGAGGGUGACAGGGAGGUAACCGCACGGCUCCCAGUCAGCUCUCGAAUGCGCAAGGAAGCAGGGACACCGGUGCCGCCACGCUGCGGUGUUGGGUCUGCAGGGGUAUCAGUGCGUUCUGACUUAGGAUGGGUUUCUCCAGGGAGAAAUCUACCACCAGCCCAGGGGCAUCGGUGCUGCUCUGCGGAGGAGCUGUGGAGAGACCGACCCUCACGUGCCACUCAGGAGCACAGGGAGCUUUGGCAGCAGUGAACACUGCACCCUGUGCCCUUGCCUUUUGCUGCUGUGAGGCUGCUUUCUGGGAGCCUUUUCCAAAACACGCUGCAAAACCCCAAAUAGCGCAAGAGGACAGCUCGCUGCAGCAGUGCUCACAGAACUCCGAAACGGCUGGUGCCGGAGGCCCCCAGACUACCGCACGAAGAAAAGAACUUUCUGCAUCCUUUCAAACCCUCCCUUUAAUGGAGAGCACGGAGUCUCCCGGUAUC